RNAcentral lists this ribosomal RNA (440 nucleotides) under uncultured bacterium. RNAcentral's name for it is "partial 16S ribosomal RNA". It matches the Rfam family "Bacterial small subunit ribosomal RNA", at positions 338 to 795 of the family's 1533-position model. The record is from RNAcentral.
CCUACGGGUAGCAGCAGUAGGGAAUUUUGCGCAAUGGGCGAAAGCCUGACGCAGCAAAGCCGCGUGAACGAGACGCCCUUCGUGGUGUAAAGUUCUGUCAGUGCGGACGAAAAAUGACGGUACCCACAGACGAAGCGCCGGCUCACUCCGUGCCAGCCGCCGCGGUACUACGGAGGGUGCAGGCGUUGUCCGGGAUUAUUGGGCGUAAAGAGUUCUUAGGGGGGAUGUAAAGUCAGGUGUUAAAUGUGCAGGCUCAACCUGUGUAUGGCACUUGAUACUUGCAAGCUGGAAUGCGGUAGAGGUAAAGGGAAUGCCUGGUGUAGCGGUGAAAUGCUUAGAUAUCAGGAGGAACAUCGGUGGCGUAAGCGCUUUACUGGGCCGUAAUUGACGCUGAGGAACGAAAGCCAGGGUAGCAAAUGGGAUUAGAUACCCGAGUAGUC